RNAcentral lists this ribosomal RNA (479 nucleotides) under uncultured archaeon. RNAcentral's name for it is "bacterial SSU rRNA". It matches the Rfam family "Archaeal small subunit ribosomal RNA", at positions 322 to 802 of the family's 1478-position model. The record is from RNAcentral.
CCUACGGGAGGCAGCAGGCGCGAAAACUUUACACUGCGGGAAACCGCGAUAAGGGGACCCCGAGUGCCAGUACCUAGUGCUGGCUGUCCCGCUGUCCAAACAACAGUGGUUAGCAAGGGCCGGGCAAGACCGGUGCCAGCCGCCGCGGUAACACCGGCGGCCCGAGUGGUAGCCGUUAUUAUUGGGUUUAAAGGGUCCGUAGCCGGCUUAUUAAGUCUCUUGGGAAAUCUGGCGGCUCAAUCGUCAGGCAGCCAAGAGAUACUGGUAGGCUUGGGACCGGGAGAGGUGGGAGGUACUCCAGGGGUAGGGGUGAAAUCUCGUAAUCCUUGGGGGACCACCGAUGGCGAAGGCAUCCCACCAGAACGGGUCCGACGGUGAGGGACGAAAGCUGGGGGCACGAACCGGAUUAGAUACCCCGGUAGUCCAAGCCGAAUUCCAGCACACUGGCGGCCGUUACUAGUGGAUCCGAGCUCGGUACC